RNAcentral lists this ribosomal RNA (494 nucleotides) under uncultured bacterium. RNAcentral's name for it is "partial 16S ribosomal RNA". It matches the Rfam family "Bacterial small subunit ribosomal RNA", at positions 28 to 507 of the family's 1533-position model. The record is from RNAcentral.
GACGAACGCUGGCGGCGUGCUUAACACAUGCAAGUCGAACGGAAAGGCCUGCUUUCCCUUGUGGAUUGCGGGUGCUCGAGUGGCGAACGGGUGAGUACCACGUGAGUGAUCUGCCCCCACCUUGGGUAUAAGCCUGGGAGACUGGUUCUAAUUCCCGAUAGCACGACAGGGUGUUUCCUGUUGUUGAAAACGAUUUUCGAGGGGGUGGGGAUGAGCUGGCGGCCGAUCAGCUGGUUGGUGGGGUAAUGGCCUGCCAAGGCGGCGACGGGUAGCCGGCCUGAGAGGAUGGCCGGCACAAUUGGGACUGGGAUCCGGCCAAGCUUCCACCGGGAGGAAGCAGGGGGGAAUAUUGCACAAGGGGGGGAAGCCUGAUGAAGCGACGAGGGGUGGGGGAUGCCGGCCUUCGGGUUGUAAACUCCUUUCGACAGCGAGGAAGCCGCCGGGUUGGAAGGGUGGUGACGGUAGUGGUAGAAGAAGCACCGGCUAACUACGUG